GUUUUAAGUUAAAGUUAGCUUAUUGAUAGUUGUUGUGGUCGGAUAAGCUGGGUGAGAGAAGAGAGCAGGAGAUCAAUGGAAAGCCAACAGCACAAGGAGAAGAAGAUGAAGAUACUUUGCCUCCAUGGAUUUAGAACCAGUGGGAGCUUUCUGCAAAAGCAAAUUAGCAAAUGGGAUGCUUCUAUCUUCUCAGAGUUUGACUUGGAUUUUCCAGAUGGUAUAUUUCCUGCCGGAGGAAAAUCCGAUAUAGAAGGCAUCUUCCCACCACCUUACUACGAGUGGUUUCAGUUUGACAAGGACUUCACAGAGUACACAAACUUGGAAGAAUGCAUCACUUAUUUAUGUGACUACAUAACAAGCAAGGGUCCUUUUGAUGGUUUGCUUGGUUUUUCUCAGGGUGCAACACUAUCAGGACUCUUGUUGGGCUACCAAGCUCAUUGAAGGAGCAUCCACCUUUCAAGUUUUUUAUAUCUAUAUCAGGAGCAAAAUUCAGAGAUCCAAAAAUAUGUGACAUUGCAUACAAAGACACUAUCAAGGCCAAAUCUGUCCACUUCAUAGGAGCUAAAGAUUGGUUGAAACUACCUUCCGAGGAUCUUGCUGCCGAAUUUGACAACCCGCUCAUCAUCAGGCACCCACAGGGGCAUAUGGUCCCAAGGCUAGAUGAAGCAGCCACCGAGCAGUUACGUGGUUGGACUACAGCUAUCAUCCAAUGCAAUGGUACUAUUUCAGAUGGUAAGCAUGAACUGGAGAACGGAGAUGCCAACGAAAAACAUAACGGCACAGAUCUCAUUCAAUGCGAUAACGCUAAGUUAGACAGUAAGCAUGAACUGGAGAAUGGAGAAGCCAAACAAAAACAUGAUGGCGCAGAUCUCAUUCAAUGCGAUAACGCUAACUUAGAUAGCAAGCAUGAACUGGAGAAUGGAGAAGCGAAAGAAAACUUUGGAGCAGAUCCAGUAGUUUCAGCAAUGAAGAACCAAAGCCAAGAGACAAGAACUGCAGGUGAAAUAAAAACAAAUUAGAGGGACGUGUAGGUUGUGGUGGCAACCGGAGCAUGAAGAAAAUAAAGAUGUUUGUUCCUUAACCCGUUCAUUUGAAUGUAUGAUCCACAUUGACAAGUUGUCAGUGGAGGUAAUUUAUCCGUAGUCAGUAUAUUAUGUCUUUUUUUUUUUAGUCACAUGGAGUUGCACCUUUUAUGGAAUGGAAAUCUGUAUUGUUAAUGUAAUAUAAUUGUCUCUCUUAUUGCUCA
This is a non-coding RNA of Prunus mume (Japanese apricot), 1246 nucleotides long. Lineage: Eukaryota; Viridiplantae; Streptophyta; Magnoliopsida; Rosales; Rosaceae. The record is from RefSeq and is a predicted model, not a curated record.